RNAcentral lists this ribosomal RNA (501 nucleotides) under uncultured bacterium. Its description in RNAcentral is "partial 16S ribosomal RNA". It matches the Rfam family "Bacterial small subunit ribosomal RNA", at positions 30 to 523 of the family's 1533-position model. The record is from RNAcentral.
AUUGAACGCUGGCGGCAGGCUUAACACAUGCAAGUCGAGCGGGGAAAGGUAGCUUGCUACCUGACCUAGCGGCGGACGGGUGAGUAAUGCUUAGGAAUCUGCCUAUUAGUGGGGGACAACAUUCCGAAAGGAAUGCUAAUACCGCAUACGCCCUACGGGGGAAAGCAGGGGAUCUUCGGACCUUGCGCUAAUAGAUGAGCCUAAGUCAGGUUAGCUAGUUGGUGGGGUAAAGGCCUACCAAGGCGACGAUCUGUAGCGGGUCUGAGAGGAUGAUCCGCCACACUGGGACUGAGACUCGGCCCAGUCUCCUACGGGAGGCAGCAGUGGGGAAUAUUGGACAAUGGGCGAAAGCCUGAUCCAGCCAUGCCGCGUGUGUGAAGAAGGCCUUUUGGUUGUAAAGCGCUUUAAGCGAGGAGGAGGCUACCGAGAUUAAUACUCUUGGAUAGUGGACGUUACUCGCAGAAUAAGCACCGGCUAACUCUGUGCCAGCCGCCGCGGUAA